This is a non-coding RNA of Labrus bergylta (ballan wrasse), 162 nucleotides long. The record is from RefSeq and is a predicted model, not a curated record. Lineage: Eukaryota; Metazoa; Chordata; Actinopteri; Labriformes; Labridae.
GAGGUUCUGCACACAAAUUGGCUGUCUGAUUCGUUUAAUGGGCACACUGACUUGAAGAGAGAGGACAACUGGCUUCCAUGUACGAGACACACAAGAAUCACUCAAUCAGGUGAUAUAAGAAGAAGAUGCUCUCAGAUUCAGAUCCAUCAGCAACCACUGACA